This 71-nucleotide transfer RNA is filed under the name Loxodonta africana (African savanna elephant). It matches the Rfam family "tRNA". From Rfam's summary of the family: Transfer RNA (tRNA) molecules are approximately 80 nucleotides in length. Their secondary structure includes four short double-helical elements and three loops (D, anti-codon, and T loops). The record is from Rfam by way of RNAcentral. Lineage: Eukaryota; Metazoa; Chordata; Mammalia; Proboscidea; Elephantidae.
GCGUUAGUGAUUCAGUGGUAGAAUUCUUAUCUUCCAUGUAGGAGACUUGGGUUCGAUUUUCAGCCAAUGUA